Molecule: long non-coding RNA, 739 nt
Filed under: Rattus norvegicus (Norway rat)
Lineage: Eukaryota; Metazoa; Chordata; Mammalia; Rodentia; Muridae
Description: long non-coding RNA NONRATT026782
Source: RNAcentral
GUAGACAGUCUCCUGUUUCCAAGGAGAAGGUCUCUCACCUGGACAUUUGUAAUAGCUCUGCACGUCAAAUCGCAACCCGAGGUACUGUAAAACGUAAGCUUAUUCUCUUACAUCUCUGCGCACCCAGCUCAGAUGGAGUCUCCACUCUGAACUCUCCACACCGGCACUGAGGGCUCUGCUAUCUCAUCUGAGGUUAAGGUCAUCGAAACGCAUACGUCUGAGCCACGCUGGUUUCUGCAUUGCUGAAGAAUAGGGUGAGGCUGUUACUCUCUUGUUAACUGUACGCGGUGACUAUGUUCAGUUUUCAGUGUCCCUCUUGAGUUCUAGUUCAUGUGCCUCUCGGGGUACUUCCUACCACGCCUGCUACUUCUUGAUACAUUCCAGGUUUUCCUUCCUGUAAAAUUCUGGAAACAGCGUUCUGCUUUCAAAGGGGUCGUCUUGCUACAGAAGGCCUAACAUGGAUAAUAUCCCUUUGGAGUACUAGUUAGCACAACUGUAGAAAAGAUGUAUUAUCAUAUUUACAAGAUCACACACUCCAAGAAGGGGAUUAGCCAAGACUGGUAACAAGGAAGUGUGGUUUUGACAGUGGUUGAAGAAAGACGCCUAGGUAAGGCUCUGUAACUGGAGAUAACACCUACACCACUCAUGGAGCACAGAGAAGUCGAGCUGGCGCCUACCUAGAACCUUCAUCCCUACAGACUAGUGUUCAUGCUGCCCAAGGAGAAAGGUAAACACCAAC